GACGAACGCUGGCGGCGUGCUUAACACAUGCAAGUCGAGCGGUAAGGCCCUUUCGGGGGUACACGAGCGGCGAACGGGUGAGUAACACGUGGGUGACCUGCCCUCAGCUCUGGGAUAAGCCUGGGAAACCGGGUCUAAUACCGGAUAUGACUCCAUGACGCAUGUUGUGGGGUGGAAAGCCUUGUGCGGCUGAGGAUGGGCCCGCGGCCUAUCAGCUUGUUGGUGGGGUGAGGCCUACCAAGGCGACGACGGGUAGCCGGCCUGAGAGGGCGACCGGCCACACUGGGACUGAGACACGGCCCAGACUCCUACGGGAGGCAGCAGUGGGGAAUCUUGCGCAAUGGGCGAAAGCCUGACGCAGCGACGCCGCGUGAGGGAUGACGGCUCGG
This 389-nucleotide ribosomal RNA is filed under the name uncultured bacterium. RNAcentral's name for it is "bacterial SSU rRNA". It matches the Rfam family "Bacterial small subunit ribosomal RNA", at positions 28 to 419 of the family's 1533-position model. The record is from RNAcentral.